RNAcentral lists this unclassified non-coding RNA (602 nucleotides) under Hevea brasiliensis (rubber tree). Lineage: Eukaryota; Viridiplantae; Streptophyta; Magnoliopsida; Malpighiales; Euphorbiaceae. The record is from RNAcentral.
AAAAUUAGGAAAUAAUAAACCUAAUAAUAAUAAUAAAAUUUGUAAACAAUAAAAACUCUUUAAAUUUCCUAAUUCUAUAAUAAUUAAAAUUCCUAAAUAAAAUUCUAAUCUUCCUAUUCUGCAUUACCACGUCUUUCCUGCAAACAAGGAUGACUAGUGUGUUAGUACUCAGUCCGUAGAUUCUUCACUCAUAAGAAUCAUACAUUGUGCUUCUAAGAAAGUGCCAUAAUGACGUUCUUUGCGUGAUUUGUUGUCAAUUUCCUGAAAAUAUGCUGAAAAUGUAGGUGCAAAGUCUUGCUUGUCUAAUGAAAAUGAAUCUGGUAACAUCUGAAACGAAAAGAGUUCUUUUAAAGAAAAAAGGUGGAUAUACAUAUCUUGAAAAGUUGUUCAAAAUAAGGGCAUUGUAUGUUUCCCCUCAGAUAUUUUGACUGUGGUUCAAAUUCAUAUUUGCAAAACUACAAAUGCAAAGAGCUAUGACUUCUUUUGUGCCUCUUCUAUUAACUUUCAAAAUUAUACUGUGUCAUGUUGUAGUUGUUAAUUCUAACAAAGCUGACAUUUUAACUUUUUAAUUGGAUCAGCUCUCAGCAGAAAACAAUCAUCAA